ACCUGGGUGGCUCAGUCGGUGAAGCAUUUGACUUUGGCUCAGGUCGUGAUCUCACCAUUCGUGGGUUCAAGCCCCACAUCAGGCU
RNAcentral lists this transfer RNA (85 nucleotides) under Felis catus (domestic cat). It matches the Rfam family "tRNA". Rfam says of the family: Transfer RNA (tRNA) molecules are approximately 80 nucleotides in length. Their secondary structure includes four short double-helical elements and three loops (D, anti-codon, and T loops). Further hydrogen bonds mediate the characteristic L-shaped molecular structure. tRNAs have two regions of fundamental functional importance: the anti-codon, which is responsible for specific mRNA codon recognition, and the 3' end, to which the tRNAs corresponding amino acid is attached (by aminoacyl-tRNA synthetases). tRNAs cope with the degeneracy of the genetic code in two manners: having more than one tRNA (with a specific anti-codon) for a particular amino acid; and 'wobble' base-pairing, i.e. permitting non-standard base-pairing at the 3rd anti-codon position. Lineage: Eukaryota; Metazoa; Chordata; Mammalia; Carnivora; Felidae. The record is from Rfam by way of RNAcentral.